GACGAACGCUGGCGGCGUGCUUAACACAUGCAAGUCGAACGGAAAGGCCCCUUUGGGGGUACUCGAGUGGCGAACGGGUGAGUAACACGUGAGUAACCUGCCCUUGACUUCGGGAUAACUUCAGGAAACUGGGGCUAAUACCGGAUAGGAAUCCUUGCUGCAUGGUGGGGGUUGGAAAGCUUCGGCGGUUUUGGAUGGACUCGCGGCUUAUCAGCUUGUUGGUGGGGUAGUGGCUUACCAAGGCUUUGACGGGUAGCCGGCCUGAGAGGGCGACCGGCCACAUUGGGACUGAGAUACGGCCCAGACUCCUACGGGAGGCAGCGGUGGGGAAUAUUGCCCAAUGGGCGGAAGCCUGAUGCGGCAACGCCGCGUGCGGAUGACGGCCUUCGGGUUGUAAACCGCUUUCAGCAGGGGCGAAGCUUGUGGUGACGGUACCUGCAGAAGAAGCACCGGCUAACUACGUG
This 464-nucleotide ribosomal RNA is filed under the name uncultured bacterium. RNAcentral's name for it is "partial 16S ribosomal RNA". It matches the Rfam family "Bacterial small subunit ribosomal RNA", at positions 28 to 507 of the family's 1533-position model. The record is from RNAcentral.